This 62-nucleotide microRNA precursor is filed under the name Podarcis lilfordi (Lilford's wall lizard). The record is from RNAcentral. Lineage: Eukaryota; Metazoa; Chordata; Lepidosauria; Squamata; Lacertidae.
UUACAUACAUACAUACAUAUAUAUAUAUAUAUAUAUGUGUGUGUGUGUGUGUGUGUGUGUAU